GACGAACGCUGGCGGCGUGCCUAAUACAUGCAAGUCGAGCGAACAGACGAGGAGCUUGCUCCUCUGACGUUAGCCGCGGACGGGUGAGUAACACGUGGAUAACCUACCUAUAAGACUGGGAUAACUUCGGGAAACCGGCGCUAAUCCCGGAUAAUAUAUUGAACCGCAUGGUUCAAUAGUGAAAGACGGCUUUGGUGUAUCUUAUAGCUGGAUACGCGCCGCAUUAGCUAGUAGGUAAGGUAACGGCCUACCAAGGCAACGAUGCGUAGCCGACCUGAGGGGGUGAUCGGCCACACGGGAACUGAGACACGGUCCAGGCUCCUACGGGAGGCAGCAGUAGGGAAUCUUCCGCAGUGGGCGAAAGCCUGACAGAGCAACGCCGCGUGAGUGAUGAAGGUCUUCGGAUCGUAAAACUCUGUUAUUAGGGAAGAACAAAUGUGUAAGUAACUAUGCACGUCUUGACGGUACCUAAUCAGAAAGCCACGGCUAACUACGUG
RNAcentral lists this ribosomal RNA (497 nucleotides) under uncultured bacterium. RNAcentral describes it as "partial 16S ribosomal RNA". It matches the Rfam family "Bacterial small subunit ribosomal RNA", at positions 28 to 507 of the family's 1533-position model. The record is from RNAcentral.